AGUUUUAACUGUUUUUACCUGUAAUCAGCUGUUAUCUUGAAAGAAUAGUCAAGCAAAAUCCAUUCAAUCCAUAAAGUGCCACAGGCUGAUCACCUCCAUGCCAAGCUGCAUAGAUGCAGUAAUUCAUGCAGAAGGAGCCCCAACCAAGUAUUGAGUGCAUUGACGUGCUAUCCAGAAGCCUCACAUUUGUCCCUAAAACAUCGUUUUUUUAUAUUGAUCUUAUACUUUAUUAUAAUUUCCCAAGAUACUAAGUUUUGAGGUUUCAUUAUCUCUAAGUUGUAAUCAUUAAAAUAACUAGAAACAAAGACUUGAAAUAUUGCUUUCUGUAAUGAAUCUGCACCUUAGAUAAUUUUCACAUAUUGAAGUCUAUGACAAAGAAUAUUGAACUUUUCCUUUAUUGUAGCAAAUAAGUAAUAAUGUGAUUAAAACACACCAUAGUUCUUAUGUUCCUGUGAUUCUACAGCAUUUACUCAGUGGGAAUCAUUUGUUCUACAGUGAUUACAUUUUUUAAAACUAAAAAUAAAAAGUCUUCAAGAUGUAUGAAUAGGAAAAGUAAGUUGUAACUGUGCACACUUCUCACUACCAUGUUUCGCUGUCAAUAGAUGAGGGAAAGUGAGGAGGUCAAAGGAAUGGGUGCCGCUGAUGAGUGAUGUCAAAGCCACCCUUGUGAUCCUGGAGGACCUGACCUUGUCCAGCAAGCUUGCUCUCCACUCACCAGGCUGACUGGAACUACAGUGGCUUCGUAGGCAUAAUCAAGAAUACUUCCCCCUUACAUCUUAAUAAAGAUUUGCUCUUAAUAAGAGCUCAUUAUUGCAAAGCACUCGUGCAUAUUUAUGUACUAUUAAAUUUGACUACGGCUGCUUUUAGUUCAGUUUUUUUAUUUAAGAUGCAAGUUAAAAGGUCUGCUUUUUGGAUUAAAUGUUCUUGUUUAUGCCUAUUCCUAACAACUUUUAAAAUAUACCGGUGUGGGUUCUCUGGGCAUAAAGGAUUUGUUAAUCCUCUUGAUUUUGUAUUAUUUCUCUGAUUUAUUGUUUACUUUCCACAGUAAGGAAAACUUUUCUGUCAAUAUUUGUAAGUGUUGCUUUUUUUGUACUGUAAGUAACUAGAGGAAUCAGGAAUAUUCUUCCUGUGAUGUUUUCUAUGGCACUGAUGUUAUUUCCUAAUUUUGUCCAAAUUAUCACUUGCUCCACUUUUUGUGCCUUCAAUCAUGCCAUGAUUGACUGAGAGAAUAAAAACUUGAGGAUAGAUAUUUUUUUACACAUAAGGGUGUUUAAUAAUGAUGACCCUUUUAUGUGAUGGUCUGACUUUCAUGAGCUACCAGCACUAGAUACUUCAUAAUUAAGAUUAGGGUUUGAGUGUUAUGUCUCCCAAGAAGCUGAAAUGGUUAGAUUUUAAAAAAUAUUUUGUCAUUAUGAGUCUUGUCACAUAUCAGUUGCAAAUAUUCUAGAGUUUUAUGGGAUUUGUGCAUUGUAUUAAAGACAUUUUUCAUUGGCAACAUGUAGUUUGACAUUGAGUUCUGGAAGAAGCUCAUUAAGAGGAGCAGACAAUCAUUCCCUGCUUGCAUGAAAAAAAGUUGAUUCAACAUUAAAACAUUUACAAGCAUAGUUACUGUAAUGGUCAAAAUAAAAAUGACUUUGAUUCAUCUUA
Long non-coding RNA from Gambusia affinis (western mosquitofish), 1647 nucleotides. RefSeq lists it as uncharacterized. The record is from RefSeq and is a predicted model, not a curated record. NCBI's taxonomy places the organism in Eukaryota, Metazoa, Chordata, Actinopteri, Cyprinodontiformes, Poeciliidae. The transcript is spliced from 2 exons.